Molecule: long non-coding RNA, 32759 nt
Filed under: Coffea arabica (coffee)
Lineage: Eukaryota; Viridiplantae; Streptophyta; Magnoliopsida; Gentianales; Rubiaceae
Description: long non-coding RNA (CARA_LNC003966)
Source: RNAcentral
GCUCCUGAGAUGAUUGAAAAGGUUCUCACAUCCGAACAGGACCAAUCGGCCAAGAGGAAUGCAUUUCUGAUGCUGUUCAAUUGUGCCCAGGAUCGUGCAAUUAAUUACCUUUUGACUCAUGUUGACAGGGUACCAGACUGGGGAGAGUUGCUUCAGAUGGUAGUCCUGGAGUUGGUCAGGAAAGUCUGUAGAACGAACAAGGCAGAGAAAGGGAAGUACAUUAAGAUUAUUAUCUCUCUGCUAAAUGCCCCUUCUGCUGCUGUUAUUUAUGAAUGUGCUGGAACUCUUGUUUCUUUGUCUUCUGCUCCUACGGCUAUCAGGGCUGCUGCCAAUACCUACUGCCAGCUUCUUCUGUCUCAGAGUGACAACAACGUCAAACUUAUUGUGCUUGAUCGUCUGAAUGAACUCAAAUCAUCUCACAGGGACAUUAUGUUUGAUUUGAUAAUGGAUGUUCUUAGGGCACUUUCAAGCCCGAACCUUGACAUUCGGAGGAAAACACUUGAUAUAGUUCUUGAUUUGAUCACGCCACGAAAUGUCAAUGAGGUUGUUCUCACUCUUAAGAAAGAAGUUGUGAAAACUCAAAGUGGGGAGCUGGAGAAGAAUGGGGAGUACCGUCAAAUGCUCAUUCAAGCCAUUCAUUCCUGUGCUAUAAAAUUCCCAGAAGUUGCAAGCACUGUGGUCCACCUAUUGAUGGAUUUCUUGGGUGACAGCAACGUUGCUUCUGCAAUGGACGUGGUUGUUUUCGUGCGAGAAAUUAUUGAAACAAACCCAAAAUUAAGGGUUUCCAUAGUCACCAGGCUGCUUGACACGUUCUACCAGAUUCGAGCUGCACGGGUUUGUUCUUGUGCUCUUUGGAUUAUUGGAGAAUACUGCUUGUCCCUUUCCGAAGUCGAGAGCGGCAUUGCAACCAUUAAGCAGUGUCUUGGGGACUUACCCUUUUACUCUAUUUCUGAAGAAGGGGAUGCUGCUGAUCCAGCAAAGAAAUCUCAGCAGGUAACUUCCAUCACCGUUUCAUCCAGACGACCAGCUAUCCUUGCUGAUGGGACGUAUGCCACUCAAAGUGCUGCUUCUGAAACUGCUUUCUCCCCUCCAACUGUUGUCCAAGGAUCAUUAACUACUGGAAAUCUGAGAUCUCUCCUCCUCACCGGUGAUUUUUUCCUUGGGGCUGUGAUUGCCUGCACACUGACAAAGCUCGUGCUGAGACUGGAAGAGGUUCAGCCUUCCAGGGUUGAAGUCAAUAAAGCAUCUACAAAUGUACUGUUGAUCAUGGUUUCAAUGCUACAGCUAGGGCAGUCUUCGGUUCUUCCUCAUCCAAUUGAUAAUGAUUCUUAUGAUAGGAUAGUUCUUUGCAUAAGACUGCUGUGUAACACGGGGGAUGAGGUCAGGAAGAUAUGGUUGAAGUCUUGCCGUGAGAGUUUUGUUAAGAUGCUUUCUGAUAAACAGCUACGCGAAACAGAGGAAAUUAAAGCAAAAGCUCAGAUUUCCCAUUCACAGCCAGAUGAUCUGAUUGACUUCUACCACUUGAAGAGUAGAAGGGUAAGCAUUUUGCAUUUGAUUCUAAUUGUGCUUUUGAAGAAUGCAAUUAGUUCAAUUGCUUUGCUAUCUUCAUCAGAUUUUGUCUCAAUUUUGAUCACUUUAUAGUUGUAUACAGGGUUAGGUGAUCUUGUUAUACCUUUAGUAGAUUCUUGAUGAGAAAGUAUUGCCUAUUUUCACCCUUUUCUUUGUUAAGCCAAGUUUGCCCUAAUGUCAAAUAUUUGUGGCUUAAGACUGCCCUUGGGAUUAGAGUGUGAUGAUGUUAUGGAUGGGAUUGCUGGUUUAGUUGAUUGGUCAAACUAAGCAACAUUUUGAUUUUGGAUCUAUCCUGUCUAAAUUUCAGGGUAAUGUAUUGUUAUUGUGCAGAAGUUAUAUUUUCAAUUCCUUAAACAUCAUCAUGGGAAUUGAACUUAAUACUUGCUGGAACUAUGGUGCAUCUUUUUUUAACAAUUUGAGGGAUCUUUCUUAAGUAAGAAGUCACCUGUUUAUGUGUAGCUUUCUUGGGUUCUGAAGGGCAACUUUCAUCGUUUUGGUGGGUAGUUUUAAUUACUUUCAGGGAAUGCAUUUUGGAAGAUUACUUGGUGUUUGCUCCCUCAUUGGUUUCUCUUUUCCAACAUAAGUUUUGAAGGUACAUUAGAGCUCCCUUAGUAGGGAUUGAAGUGUAUUUUGACACUGUUAGCCAUAUUUCAGGGCAUGAGCCAGCUGGAGUUGGAAGAUGAGGUCCAAGAUGAUCUAAAACGUGCCACAGGGGAAUUCAUUAAGGAUGGAGAUGAUGCAAACAGGCUUAACCGUAUUCUUCAGCUUACGGGUUUUAGUGAUCCUGUGUAUGCUGAAGCAUAUGUGACAGUUCACCACUAUGAUAUCGUCCUGGAUGUUACAGUCAUUAAUAGAACUAAGGAGACUCUGCAGAAUUUGUGUUUGGAGUUGGCAACAAUGGGAGAUCUUAAACUAGUUGAGCGGCCACAGAACUACACUCUGGCUCCUGAAUCAAGCAAGCAGAUCAAAGCAAAUAUUAAGGUGUCCUCCACUGAGACGGGUGUCAUAUUUGGGAACAUAGUCUAUGAGACUUCAAAUGUGCUUGAACGAACUGUUGUUGUCCUCAAUGACAUACACAUUGACAUCAUGGACUACAUCUCUCCUGCAGUGUGCAGUGAUGCUGCUUUCAGAACUAUGUGGGCAGAAUUUGAAUGGGAGAACAAGGUAUCUUCAUAUUCACAAGGAUUUUUUUUUUUUACACUUAUUCCUAGCUUUGUUGUUGAAUUAUAUUUGUUAUAUCCCUAGUUUUUCGUGCUGUUGCAUUACCUAAAAAUGUCUCAAGGUGAAUUAGUUAAGAAUGUUAGAAAGGGUGACGAAGUGACAAUAAUUGAAGAUUGCUUGAGUUGUCUGCUAUAUGGAACUGGAGUAUUGUAAUUUAUACAUGCUAAGGCAUUUUGUUGUUUUGGGUAUUGCAAGGUGGUGGUUUUCUCCAAAAUCAUUUUGCUUUUCAACCUAGAGCAAGGAUGAGUAACAAAGUUAGGAAUUCUACUAGCAAUUUGUCAACCACUUUUACAUUUUCAACUAGCAAUUGGUCAACCACUUUGACAAUUUCAAAUCACAAAGAAGAAUAUUCAUAAAUAUCCCAACAACACACUCUCUAUUCUCUAUUUGUUGAAUACAUGCCACAAACUGGAUGACUCUCAACAGAAGUUUACCGGUAAACCCUGUGUAUUUUUUCUCAAGUGUUUACACGAUUAUCUCUGACAAAGUGUUGUCUGUGGCAGGUUGCUGUAAAUACUGUUAUUGAAGAUGAGAAGGAAUUCCUUGACCAUAUUAUUAAGUCAACCAACAUGAAAUGCCUGACUGCACAGUGAGUUUCAGUCACUCCAAUACAUGAUUUUUUUGAUAAAGCUAUUGUGGGUUGAGAUUUGGCAUGUGUGAGGACAAUGGUCAAUCCCUGUGAUGUGCCCACUGUCCCUGCAUUUUGUAGUUGGUUCUUUUGUCAUUCUUCAUGAAGAUGAUGUACUUUGCUUGUCUAAUCAUCAUGCACAGAAUAAAUCACCAGAGCCUUCGUCUUGCUUGUAUCUUACUGUGUGAUGACAUAGUUCAAUUUUGUUGUAAUUUGUAAAACAGCUUUUGGAAUUGGUUGAUCUACAUCAAUCCUAUGAUGUCACUGCCUUAUUAUGAAUUUUGGAUGCUUCUUUCAGGUCAGCUUUGGAAGGUGAGUGUGGAUUCCUUGCCGCUAACCUUUAUGCAAAGAGUGUGUUUGGAGAGGACGCUUUGGUGAAUGUCAGCAUUGAGAAACAGGCAGAUGGUAAGUUGAGUGGUUAUAUUAGAAUAAGAAGCAAGACUCAAGGAAUUGCUCUCAGCCUGGGGGACAAAAUCACUCUUAAGCAGAAGGGAGGUAGCUGAAUUCUGGAUGCACUGUUAGUCUUAGUGCCGUAAUAGUGGUAUGUAACUAUCUGUGGCCAGCCCCCCCCCCCCCCCUCCUCCUCCUCCAGCACAAAAAAAAAAAAAAAAAUUCCCUUCUUUCCCUCUUUUCCCUCUCCCCUUCCAGUCCCCCUUUUAGUAUUUCUUUAUGAAUGUUAGUGCAUCUUCUUUUUUUCAGUUUUUUGUAGUGUGUUCCUUGGAGAAUAUGAAGGGGAAAGAGUAGAACUGUUCUGUGUCAUUUCAUGUUGGCAAGGAGUGCCUUGAAACCAUAAUGAAAAAGUCAUGGGAUUAUCUUUUAAUUUGUGGCUGUACAAUCUUCAGGUUCACAAGUUUGGAUGAAAUCAUUGGGGCUCUUUCAACACAUUUCCUGGCUGCUGCAAAGAGUUAACGCAGAAUAUCAGUGUCAGUGUUCUUGCAUUGAGUCCUUCAAAUGCUCGACACUGUAUUAGAUUGCAUCUAUUUUUGUAGAGAAUAUAUUGGAGAGAAGAAAGAAUGGCGGACUUUGCUACCUUGACUCAUUUAGAGAAUUCAUUGUCAAUUUUCUUUUUAUGCUUUGAGAUCGGAUUGGAUUCAGGAAUUCUUAUAUUUUUCCCCUUCUUUUUUUACUUAAAUUGUAUUUUUUGUCUUUUGGGGGGGAAUGAAUUUGUUACUUUUGUUAUGAAUGCCAUGGUACGAUACAUCUCUAUUUCCAUACGGAGCAAAACUUUGUCAGAAACAAGAAGUAAAAUGUUUCUUAUUGCUUAAAAAAGUGGCCUGUUUGUGUGGUCGAAUUAGGCCUGCAAUCAAAGGUCUAAUUGUCAGACUUUAGUCUUGCGCCUUCUGUUUUGGUUUUCAGCUUGUGUUAAAAUUACCACAGCACGCUGAUGAACGUCAAUCAAUGAUCAACAACAAGGUACAAUCAAGUUUUUCUAUAAUUAUAAGCCCACAGUAUCCUGUAGUAUUCAUGGCAAAUGUAGAUCGAGCAACACGGCACGCCAGAAGAGCAUUUUACUGAUCUAUCCUUUAUAAAGCAAUUAAACUCCUUAGAUGUUUCUGUGCACAUACUAAAUUAACAGCGUCUACGUGACCAAAAAUGAAAUACGCUUUCCCUGUUAAAUCUGACAUGAAUGCUGCUUAUUGUCGGCUGGGGACCUAUGGCUUUGUUUACAACACUUUUAGCCGUACGAUGUCCCUUCUAAUUAGUAGGAAAAGCACGAGGAGAGUGUUACUGUUUUGGUUCUCUUUAUGCAGACAGGAAAAGCUUCAAAAAUGAAAAAAUAACCCCCAUCACAUACAACAUUCCAUUUGCUGAUCUCAUUGCCUUCCCUUCCCUUCCCAUACAAAAGAAUUGAAAAUGGCGGACAACGUAAGAUCAACCGCAGAAGAUAAAUAUGCAGUGGUCACAGAACAAAAUUAUGCCUCGCAUUACAACCAUUCAGUUAUCCACAUUAACUUACAGACGGUGUUCCCUGUCUCUUAAGUCCAUGAAUUAUGACCUGCCAAACCAGAUCAUGUUAUGCUAACAAUUUAUAACAACUACUUGCGGUACAGUACAGCGGCGUAUCAAGUACUUCUUUGAUGACAUUAAUAAAAUGUAGCUUUUGUAAGGUGCAUCAGACUCUAAUAUACUCUUUAGAUGUCAGAUUUAUUGUAAUGCAGGAGAUAAAGCUCCAGUCUUCUGGCUUUCCAUUCCAGUUAUGCAAUUAACAAGAAAGAAAGACCUUAUGCAGUACAUCCUUUGCCAUAUUUCUCACAUCCUGCCCUUGAUCCCAACCAGAAGUUCCACCACCUUGACUCUUGGAGUCGAAUAAAACAGCUCACUGAUAAUGCUUGUCAACAGCAUGAGAGAGAUAAAGCGCAUGACCUAUGGGGCCAUUAUGACAGGUUCAUCCACUAGAAAGAAGUUUCUGCUCAUCCAAAAUUUUUCCUUCCUGAGUUCCCCCAUCCAAGCAGAUAUGAGAAUUCAGCCAUUGCCACAUUGCAACUCCUAUCACUUUGCAAGCAGUAAUCUAAACUGCUGGCAUCAUAAAGCCUUCCCCAUCCAUCCUGAAUGCAACUGCACACCCAUCGCAGAAAACACAAAUUUCAGCAACAAUCAUCCCCCUCCCCUGGCCCCUUUUAUCAUCCAGAAUAGCAGCAAAAGAAUCAACCAGUUGUAUGCUUUUAGGAAAUAACAGCAAUUCAAUUCUUAUAAUAUUCUGAAGCUUGAGAUAUCAAAUUUGGUUUGUUCUUUUGGAACAGUUUACUCAAAGUUAUUCCAUAAAUUGUAGGAAAACGACUUAUAACUUCACAUACACUUCAUGACCCUAUGAAUGGGAGAGUCCGAGAAGUUUCAAUAGCAAGAAAUUGAAAUAAGAGGAUCUUGAAAUUCAAAUACCCAAACAACAAAAAAGCCUCUAAUUUCAUGUCUACAUGGAAGUUCCUGAACAGGAUACCCCCGGUUCAUGCAUCCAGUUCACCCGUUUUUGCCAAAAGAAUGUCUGAAAAUGAGGUCCAAUAACAAGUAAUCAGCUUGAAUUCAAGCCUUGGUAUCCCUCAUCCCUACCCAUUGCGACAGGUGCUAAAAUACACAGCAGAGCCAAACUAAAAGGUUUGGCUGAACAAAACUAAGUGUGGCGAACUCCAUACAGAAUGCAGCAUGAAGUGACGUACAAACUCUGGAACUCAUCUCUAUAUAAUUACCUAAUGCUGAAAAGAAAAAAUCAUAUUUGAAAACAAAUAUGCUUAAACUCAACCACAGCAACUGAAGCACGUGUGUUACAUUUUAAGAUCCCAACUUCAUGAUUUUGCCAAGUCUACAAAAGGAAGACUCACAUUGUUGUCCUCUUCUAGGUUAAGAGGUAUCCUAUCAUCAGCCACUCAACGAUCUACCAAUGGCAGCUUUCAGUCGAUCACACGUGCUUUGCAUCUUAUGCCUUUCUUCUAUAGUCGUGUUAGUUUCCUCUGACUGCAACCACAAUUAAAAUAACUUAUUUCCCAGAUACUACAAGAUUAUAAAGUAUCAGUAAAUCUUGUUGGCUUUGUACAUUCUUGAACUAGUAUACCCUUCAUAAAGUAAAUUUUAGAAAAGUAAACUUGUACUGGGUAAGCAAAGCAUACAGAGAACAGAAAACUAAAACGUUUCUUGGGGCCAAUUCUUUUUUUCGCACCCAAAAUUUAGCAAGGAAAGCAAAGUUGCUUGAAAGGGGAACAGAAACGGACACACAAAUUAUUAGAAUCAAGAUGAUACCUGAACUUUGAGCACCAUCUCCAACAUGCUCUCAAUCUGUGACUUGUGUGGCAAAAGAAUUUGGUGCAUCUUAACAUCUCCAUGCAUUAGUAGUAACACAGUAACAAUAACAUUCGACCUACUUGAUUGGCUGAUUUUGGAUGUACUAUGAUGAGGGGACAAUAAUAAAGAGGUAUUGUCUGUUAUCAGUGAUCUCAUUGAAGUUAAAAAAAGAUCUAACAGUUUGGUACUCCUAUCAAACAGGAAAAAACAAGGUAGGAGAUAGUAGUGGCUCUUGUUUGUGCUCAAGUAGACUUUGGAUUCACCAUCAUGCUGCUUACUCUGCAUAAGUAAACCAAAACAGAAGAUAUCAGAGAACUCAGACCAUAACUGAAGGGUGCAUAUUAAGAAAAUUCAAACAUGAGAAUCCAAAAAGAAAAAAAAAAGAUUGUUAUAGUUUCUGAACAUAAUCAUAGCCCAACAUGUUUGAAUUUGGCCUCAAUGUAGCUUAGAAGUCUUAGAUGCUAUGGCUAGGGAUAAGAUUUAACUACUACAUGCAGUAGUGAUCUUGUUGCAACUGAUUCAGUGAAGAGUUUAACUGAGUGUUUACUGUUCUGUGUGUGUAAGACUCAGCUUAAUUGACAUAUACAAUAUCAUCUGCUUUCUAAUACCUUAAGCUUUUGGACGAGGUGAUGCUUCAACAUGCUGGAAAAUGAGACAAAGAUCCAGGCCCAAUUUUACAUACCACCCAUUAUGAUAUAUGCAUGUGCGCAUUCACCAAAAACCCCAGUCGAGUUUUGAGUUUAGUUUAAGAGUUGAACUAAGAACAACCAUGGAAAGAACACAUGACGCUGAUCGUAUCAUAUGUGGCCAACGUCAUGUAGAACCAAGAAUUAUCCCUGUUUGCACUGAUUAAUCAUGUUUAAUAUGGAUGAUGUUUGUUAAAUUACAGCUUAUGUAUGUAAUGCAUUUCAUGUAUCAUUACACUAUAACUUGUGUGACAAAUAAAAUAAGUUGGAAUUCUGUGUGUAUUCUAUUUCAUGCAUAAUAAGAGAUGAUUCUAAUUAACUUAGUCAUGCAUAAUAACUAAGGAAGUUGUCUCUCUUCAGUAAGUAUUUAACCAACGUCUUCCAGCAGAUUAUCCAGGGAAGCACUCCAAAGAAGUCUGAAAUUCAGUAAGAUAGACUGUCUGUUUUGAAGGUUUGACAAGCACAAGAAUUAACAAACAAGAAUGUUUUACAAAGGACGAAUUAAACAUCUUCAGGUACUCAUAAACAGCGAAGAACUGAAAAGUUUUCUUAUAAAACAAUCAAGAACAAGAAUCAAAAACAGAAUAUCACUUACAGAUGCAACAUUUAUCAAGUAUUUACAGAGGACAUUGCUUAAUUUGAUAACACUCCGUUCAGAGAACCUUGUGGGUUUGGUGUCCAAGGUGACGAACACCCUGAGAAAUGCACAGAUGUUGUCUAAUGGCAGUUUCAGUGACUGAAAAAAGGGAGCAAAAAAAUCAAUGACAGUUGUAUAGAUCAACUAAGUUUCACAAAAAAUGCCAGAGAAUAAUAAGAACAGCUGAGCUUAAACCAAAGUAAUUAAACAAAUGCAAGUUAAAAGAUGAGACAUACAGAGAAUCAAAUUCAUCAUAUAAAAUUUAGCCAGAUUACCAUCUCAUCAAGAAUUUUAUUUUCCAAAGUUUGGAGAACAAGAUGGUCAUCCCCAAUUUGAGAUAGACAAGAGCAAAUAACUCUGGUAAUUGUUCUAAAGGUAGCUUGAUUUGAGAUUCCUUCAUAUCCCAGAGAGGAACAGUUUUCUGUAAAGGGAACACAAGUUUCAGCUAUCAAGUAAGACAAACAAGAGAUUAGUCAGCAUUGACCUUGAACUAUUGACAAUAACAUCCUAAAAAGAACCUAUGUAAAACACACAAAAAAAAAAAAAAGCAGAGGCACACUAAAGAAUUUUACGAAACCCUACUUCAGGAAAAAAGGGAAAAAACAGAGAGAGAGAAAGAGAGAGACUUCAAGAAGAUAGUGGAAACAAAAAGGGCCUACUCUCCCAUCCCAAGAAACAUUACUAAAGAAAGUAGAAUUCUUUUCCAACCUUUAAAAAAAAGUGAGAGGGGAGUCACAUACACAGAAACAAUGAGUACAAGAGUGAAACAAACAUACUGAAGGAUCAUGGUCAAAAUCAGCUAAUGUGAUAGCACCAAAGAGUUAAUCAUCCUGAUCCUGAAAAGUGACUAUUUGAUGUGAAUCUAUAGAAGACACUUCUGAAAUGUCAAUCCGGACGGUUAUCUUGAUAUUAUCGCCUAAAAUGGGUCACAGUGGUUGAAACAGUAGGUUAUGUUGAAUAUUCCAAUUGACAGCAAACAUUAAUUUAGUAUGGCCACAACACAUUAAGAACAUGGCCACAAAGGCAAAGUCUCAGGAUUGUCAAUGUUUUUUGUCCAGGUUUACAUAUCUCUGAAAAUGCACCAAGCAGGGUUCGUAUUUGCCAACAAGAUAACGAGUAAGGGUUGGUCAAAAUAAAUAAAAGAGCUAAACAAUACUAGCAUUUCUACUUUGGAAUCAUGGAAACACUUCUUGCAACCAAAAGAUCAAACCAGGAGAGAAAAUUGUAAGAGCAAAAGCACCAUGGCAUAUGGACAAGCAGCUAACAAUUGAAAGAUCAAAGAAACAGAAAUCCUACAACAUAGAGAUGAAGGAUCUGGUUUCUCUUGCAAAGACUAGUAAAGGAAGAAGCAAUAAAUUCAAAAGAUACCUGGUGAGACUCUGAAACGUGAAAGUAAAGUGAUGAGGAAACUAAUAUAAUCUGCACUCAAGAUAUUUCCAGCUUUGCAGACUGAGUGGAGAACCUCUAUUAUCCGAAAAAGUAAAAAUGGCUCCAUAUUUUGACCUGCAGUAAUGUGGUGUAGUUGGAGCUAACAACUACAACAUCAUUUUGAAGAGAAGAAUAGCAACAGAUAGCAGCCAGUGGAAACAUCAUGCAUGGAAUAGAACAACAACAUAUUUCAGUUCAAAGUUUAUCUAGCUCAAUUGAUAUUCCACUUCCUCCUCCUCUUUUUAAUGUUUUAUUUUUUGGGCAAAUGAGUAAAGCUAAGUACUUUAGCUGUCUCAUUCUGCACAUGGUCUCAAUAUUUGUCCACGGUGAUUAAUCCAUGAAAAGUUUACAGAAGCAACAUAAGUGUGGUCUAUAACAAUGAUUGGUGGGAUUCUGUACUUAAAAUACAGUACUCACAAUAGAAAACCGUAACUUAGCGACUUAUUGUACACUCCUAAAUUGUAUGAUUUCUGUAUUCUGCAAUUAUCUCCCUUAAAAGUUUCACCAAAUAUUUCGAGAACCUAGAUACUGAUAUCUCAAAGAACCUCAAGAGCCUAUAUCCCUAUUUGAAGAUUCAGAACCAAAGCUAUAAAAUAUUAAUCAGAGGAAGUAUCUGGAUUGAACAGUAGAUUACAACUGUGACAAUGUUAUACUAAAUAGGGAGUCUAAACCUUGCAGCAAAGCACAACCCCAUGUUUAACUGUAAAUUUGUGGUUGAUAUUAGCUAGAAGCCUUUGUAGCAAGGAUGGACAUCAAGAGAUUCACACACACACACAAAAACAAAAACCAUCGCCAAGUAUCAGACAUUAUCUUACUUACUUAAGCAACACAAUACCAAUGACUGAAGCAGCAUUGGUUUCAGGGAGGAGAAGUAAUACAGACAACACAGAGAAAGUUCCUGGAUAUCCUGAGGUAGACUCGUGAAUGGCCCAUAGAAUAUACUUCCUGCAAUAGAACAAAGACGUUGAUCUAUGGAUGUUUAAAAUGGAGGAAAGAGAGAACCAGAACAAGAAAUUUAAUCCUUACCAUCAUUUAAGUGUGUGCUAUAGAAAACUGCAAGUUUGCAUUGCAUUUGAUCAUACUCCUGACUGAACGAAAAGCUCAAUUUAGCAGCCUUUCCUAUAAGUAGCAGAAGUCGCAACACAGCCUGCAAGAAUAUAUCUUAGUGGUAAAAGUUAAAGUUGAAAAUCAGUACAUAUUAUACAAUUGAAGAAUGGAUGAUGAGACUUCAAUAGCUCUCGAACAGCUUAAAGCAAGAAAAGAAAGCAUAAACUACAAAAAUAUACCUUUGAACAUAAGGGGUUCUUAUCACCUAAGACCAAUAGCAGUUGAGGAAGCUCCCUAAUCCAAAUGAGCUGAUAGUCUAGCAAUUCAGGAUCUCCUGCAACCAAGUAUAGCCAGCCCUUUUCCUAUCAGUCAGCAGAACAUUUAUGUCAGUGGAAUUUGAUGUAGAGCCAUAAAAAAAUCUGCCAAUUCAACAAUAGCGCCCCCCUCGCCCCCCCCCCCCGGGGGGGGUGUUGGAUCAGGUGCCCAAGCUGAAACUCCAACUUGACUCCAAGGUUAGAAGAAGAAAUGAAAAAUUACAAAAAAGGACAGAGAAGAGGAGCUAUAUUAGUAUGAUGUGAACUCAAGAAUGACAAAUAUUUUCCAAAAAGCACAAUAUUGAAAUCUUACAGGAUCAACCACAUCUCCAAGUGCAGAAAGGCAAGCCAAUUUCAUAGAAGACUCUGGCCCACAGUUCUUAAAAACCUCAGUGAAUGCCUGCAAAAACAGUGCCAGAUGUUAAAACCAACAAUUAAGGACAUUCUGCUUUUUUAAAGAUCAGUGCUGUCCACAAUAACUACAGUUCACAAAAGCUCAAAGAGAGUAGUUUAUUAAGAUAGAGAACUGAAGUGAAGGUAAGUUGUGAAUAUGCAGUUUCUCAGUCAUACUAACUAAAGGUUUCAAAAGAAAUCUGCAAACCUGUAAAAUACGAGAUCGCCAUGCACCUGAAACUUGCAUAAAAAUCUUUGGAAUGAACGGUACAAGCGGAAGCAAGUGCUUCUCACGGAACACUCUCGAUUGUGGGCAAUUGGAUAACUGCAGGGAAACACAUCGUACAUCAAAUACAGCAUAAUCAAAUACUAUUGAUUACACGACCAGCAACAUCCAUUACGAUUUCAACUCUAAUUUAUUAAAGAAUUCAAUACAACGAAAAUAUGAAUAAAACCCAAAAACUCUUGCGUGCAUAUAAAAGGGUGGAAGUGAAGAAACAUGAUAUCCCACAGAUAGUGUGAUAGCUACAGCUAUAAGCAGAGUUCUGAAACACAGGGUCUUCAAGAAUGUCUUCCUAUUCAAUCCAUAAUUGAAUCUUUUGAUAAGUAAAUCAAUAAAAAGAUUAUGCAUGGGGAUAUGCUAUUCAAUCAGUGUACAAUACAUAAGGCUAAUUGCCAAAGCCGAUUAUGUUUCACUUUAGAAAUUACACUUAUUAACCUACAAAAUCAAAGACAGCCAGUGGAACUAUUUCAUGGCAUAUUUCAGAUAAAAGCUUUUUUUGCUUUUAAAAAAAAGUCGAUAUAAUCACAAGGAUAAGAAGUGAAAAAGUAACAAUAGAUGAAUUUGAUUGUAGUAUUCAGCUUGACUUCAUCUCAGUCGUGAUGGCACAAUCAAAACAUGCAAAUGUCAUGUGGAAAACAUCAAACAGAUUAUAUAAGAAAAGUCCAAGCAAAGGACCUUUUCAAUUAAAGAACUUUCAAUGAACCCCAGAAACUUCUCCAACAAAGCAGGAGGAGGAUAACUCCACUCCCUUAGCUGCAAAAAUAUGUCGCUAAUUAUGGCAUUUAGUGCAAGACAUCGGUCAUCAUCCUGCAGUAAGAAAACUCAACAUGUGAGAGUAAUUAUGCCAUGCAAAAAAUUUUGAGCUAAAAGCGCAAAACCUAUGCAUGCUCUAACAUCUAGGAGAAACUAACUAGGAAAAGCAACAAGAACACUAUAAAUCCAGGUCAGGAAAUCAACUCUACAAACUACAAUGUAUAAGGGAUGACAGACACCAGAGAGAAAUCACACCUUAUCUGAAUUGCGAUGAAUUAGAUUUAGAGGGAACAACUCCCACAACUUCUUAAAUAUUGCAGGUGACAUAAAGUGAUCUAAUAUGUCUGCAUCAGGUCCUCUUUCAUAAAGAGAAGGAACAUACUGCCAACUUUUUUCGCCUUUGUUCAUUUCAAAAGCAAAGAAUUUGACCACAAUGUCUAUGCUUUGAAGAAUGAAUAGCACACAAUCAAAGGAUUGCACAUCCAAUAAUUGCAUAGUAUUGUUCGAUGACAUGAAAUCCACGAAACAACUAACUAGAAUUGGGAGAAUAUCUUUCAACUUCUCAAUAAUGCCCGAACGACCUAAAAAUAAUAGAUAAAACAGAGGAUUGUGUAAACAAUCUCCUCAUAACAUUGAAAUAUAAUCUGAAUAUUUGAAAACGACAAAGGAAAGGAGAAUAGAAUUUGUUAAAAUUGUAUGAAAGAUGAAUUGGAUCAGAAGAGUACUGGUUGUGCUUUGCCUCCAUGCCUUUAUAACAACUUUUAUUUUUAGAACAACUUAAAUCAACAGUAAGAUAACAUUUACAAUAUUUAAAAUAAAAUAUCUUGCCUGGUGGCGUGCACAAAACAUGGCUAGGCAGGGAUUACACAAGUGUAAUGGCAAAUGCCACUGAAGUAUCAAAGCUUUAUGCUCUAGUUUUUCUCCUCAAAGUUGAGCAAGGUCAACUUAAAACAACUUAAAAAAACAAAGAGUUAAUAUCAAGAUUUCUUUGGAAUUGAAAAACUUUAUAGGAUGACAGAAAACAUGGCAUCUUUUCAUGGGCAAUAUAUUAAUAAAACAAAAGGACUUUUCUGAGGGUGGAAGUAAAAAGAAGGUAUUGUUGGCAUACUGGCAUCAACCUAGAAAAGCGAAUACUCAAAGUCCUAGUGUGCAUUUUUGUUGAUUACAGUCUAAAGAGUAUAGUAACACAUUUUCCCUUCUCCUAAAUCUUGUUCUUUAUCUAAAAUUUGUCCUUUGAAAGCAUGAGCUUGUGUAACCAUUUCAAAAAUUUAGUGACUUCCAGAAACCUUUGCUUUCAAGAAUUUCAACAAUCUAGGCAUCAACUAUUGUUUUUCUGUAAAUAACAUUUCUACAUUACUCUUGAGAUGACCCAAAGAGCUUAUAGUUUCUAUGCAGGUUUAUCACAAGCAUCAAUAUAACCAAUAUGCAACAGGUUCCAUCACAUGCCAUUAGAGCCUUUCAAGUUUUAGAUCAUACGUUCAAAAAACUUUAAGCUUAACCUCCAGAAUUGCAUGCCUAUAAGUUUCGAAUAACACAUAAUUAGUGCUCUUCUUAAGGACACACCACAACCAGUAAAAAUUUUUAGUACAGUUUCUUAACAUUUUGAUGGUAAACAACAGGUCAAUCUCCAAGCCAAAGGCCCCACACACUUUAUAAAGGCUAAACAUCAAGAAAAAUAACAUUCCACUUACCAGAACAAUCCUCAACCAAAUCAGGCUCCAAUGCAUGCAGAAUCCCAUGGGAAUGAACUUCCUGCAAGAUUUAAAUGUAGAAAAACAAUUGAUGAGCACUUACUUCAAGCAAAAGAUUUUACUGCAGGACAUGUAGGUACAAAGAACAAUGGAUAAUGCCUAGAAGAAAAAUGAAAAAUAGCUAAGAGCACAAAAAGCCAGAGAGGAUGGCAACUCUUCGUCAACGCAAAUCCUAAUUGAUGAAAAUUUCUUCACUGUCUACAUGGGAGUGAUCAAAAUUGAAGAAGCUUUUUAAUAAACCAUCUGUUGUUUCAGUGACAAUUUUCAUCUUUACUCUUCUAAAAUAUGAAGAAUCCACUACAAACAAAUAGAAACCUAUAAGUGAGGUGGUUGUUCUGAAUAAGAGCUUUCUCAUCUCAAUUUAGAUACGCUCUUUGUGACACAAAAUUCUUAUGCAUUCAUCUGUUGGAGACUAUAACAUGCCAAUUUUCCAGAAUCCAAAAUACAUUUAAAAUAUAUGGAAGUAAAGGUUGAAAACCAUAAGGAACGUAAAUCUGAUAACCUGAUGAAAACACAAUAUUCUAAGUCGAACUAGAAGACAAAUUAUAAAUAAGCACAAAAUAAUACUCCUGGCAAUAAUAGAAAGGAUACAUUUUUCACACAUGACUCAUCAUCUUUCUCACUACGUGGCAACAGUGUCAAGCAGUGAACUAAACCACCAAGGAUGGUUUUUAGCUUGCUCUUAUCCUGUAAAUGAAAUUGGCUCCUCUGCAGAAUAUCCUGAUAAUUCUGGAGAAUCUGCAAAUGAAAAUACAGUUAAAGAAUAGCUAAAAACAGCCCUCAUAGAUGAAGCACAAAAACAACAAAAAAAUAAAAAGCUAAGGUACCAGAACAAAGUAAAAAAAAAAAGGGUAACUGUUAAAAAAGGAAUUGAAGUAGAACCAUUUUUAUAAUCCACAGGCAAUGAUGGAAAACUAAAUCAGAUAAGGAAGUUACAUCCUUCAACAUCCAUUUAUGUAACUGCUGAAUGAACAAAGAUAUGUUUCAUCUGUUCCAGAAAUCUGGACAGUAUUUUACAUCACUUUAGGGCAAGGAAAAAGCUAAAAGAAUAGUCAGCACAUAAUAAUGAAGAAAAACUUCCAACUUCAAACGUGGUAAAAACAAACAUCGCAUAAAAAUAUAGCAAUACAUAGGCAUAAAAGCAAUAUUCACUCAAGGAAGGACAGAAUAAAGAUCAUGGACAAUAUUAUAGGAGGGAGAUUUCUUCAAGCAGCACCAGGAAAAAUUAACAAGAGACAACCACCAAUGGUCAACUUUUAAUUAUGAACGUACUUGCCAUUCCAGACAGGGAGAAAUGAGUACAAGUAAGAUUUCUUAGAACCUCUAUCUUUCAAGGUCCUAACAAUAAGAAUUAUAUAUAAUUUGUGAAAUAUACAAGUGGUAAAAGUGAAUUUACUUCAGGAAUGAAAGAAUUUCUGUUAUGGCUAUACUUAUAAAACAGAGGUUUCUUUACGUAGCACAAGGAAAAUAACUAAGAAGCAACCACCAAUAUCACCGAAAGUGACUGACUUAAAGCCAUACAUACCCACCUUCUCAGCAUAAGGAGAAAAUGCAGAUGGAUGAUGCUGGAUAACAAGGUCAAAGAAUCUGAAAGCCAUCAAGCGCACAUCUAUAGCCAAGUGCGUCAUUGAAUUGAAAAUAUAAGCCAUCAUCAAGGAAAUGAAUGGCCCUUGAUUAUCCUGUACAGAAAAAGAACGUGGACAUAUAUUUUUAAAAAUUCAUAAGCUGCAACCAUCACUUGGAAAUACAUGCGCCUUUAAUAUACGACUUAGACAUACUGCAACAAAAUUUGCCAAUCUCAUUAUUGUUAAACAUGUGUGAAAUCAAAAGCAUAUCAGAGAUUUGGAAAGAAUGGCAGAUAGGAGAACAAAGAGUUGGUGCAACAAAUUUGAAGUUUAACAAGGGAGAUUCAGAAAACAUUCCCCAGCCUGCAAUAGAGGACAAUAUAAUUGACUUGCCUAACAAGGCCUAUGCAACCAAAAAGAAAAAGAAAAAUAAAAAGAGAUGAGCUGAUUUACCCAAAACAUCAACUAUGAAAAGAAGCUGUAGAGGGGGGAGGACACUGACUUUAAUAUAAUAGUGAACCUGAAAGUAUAAUAUGAAAGCUACCUAUAGGUUCACUAAAUAUCCUUAAUAAUAGCAUGACAAACAAUUUCAAGAACCAGCGUCACAAAAUUUACCUGCUUACAGUUGGGCAAUAUCACUGACUUAAAUAAUUGGUAAAGCGUUUCUCGGACAAUUUUAUCAUCAUCACUGAUGCGUUCACGCAGUUUCUCUAUAGUAGCAAGCUUGUGGAGCUUCAACUCAGCAGGAUAUUUAAGAAAUAUAUCCCUAAUACCAAUCAAUGCAUCUGGAGAGGUUAAAAAACGGAGAUCAAAAACUCCUUGUUAAUUGUAACCGUUACUUCUCAAGAAGAUGUAGAGAUUAUACAAGACAAAUAAGUGCAUAACUGGUAUUUAACACACUGUUUCACUUGGUGAAUAUUUAGCAACUACAUAGCCCCAGAACAGGGUAGGACGGAGACUUUGAAAAAUGCAAUCCAGGGCGCAUGCAUGACAAAACCAAGUUUGAUAUACUUAGUUGAACCAAAUACAUAUCAUCCUUAAAAGGAUGCGAGAUUUCUGUUAAAGCACACGAAUAAGACUAAAACAGAUUGCAAUUACAGGAUGAUCCCAUAAAAACUCAACAGCAAGUAUUAUCCCCAUUGCACAUGGAUCUCCUAAUAACAACUACAAUUUUCAUUUCUGUACCUUCUACACAUGUUAUCCUCUUUUCACAUUUCUCUUGAAUCAAUAACCUUUUUUGCCUAAAUAUCCUCCAAUUUUCCACUCCAAAAGUUUCAACCUCAACCUUUUUUUUCACAACCCUGUUGAUUCAGGUUAUAUUAACAAAGAAAUCACCUUUACGAACUUUUGCAUUGUGAUGACUUGUUUGUUGCAGAAGCUCCUUCAAAGUCAAACCCUUUUUACUCACAGCUAAACCUGCCUUAUCUGACACUACACUCUGCUCCGGAAGAAUAAUCGCUGCUCAUCAAAGAAACCAACAGCUACGUCAUCAACAUUAGGUCCGUAUCACAAUGACAUCAUGAAAUUAGCUAAAAAUAUGAAAGGAGAAGCUUUUCCAACUAAAAAGUUAUUAUUCACAUACCAAGAGCAAAACCCAAUAAAACAAAUAGUUUCUCAAAACCGAGUAAAUUUUAAUCAUAUAUUUAACAUGAACUCAACCGAUUUAGUUCCAGUAACAAUGGACCAUUUGUGCUACAAACGCCAAGUACAUAACCGCAUAAAAAAUUGUAUUACAAACCAUGAAAGCAACAACAAAUACAUUCGAAAGCUAAAGAGAAGCAUUGGAUUGAAAAACCGGGGUAUUGUUCUUUGUGCUAUACCUUUAGACUUGAUUUCUGUAUUGGUUGCAUUUUUGGGCGGCGGCAAUUUUCGACCAACUUUUCUUUUUAUUUUCUACAAAAAAAAAUGGAUGAAUGAAAUGAGCGUGUCGAAAUUUCACAUGCAUCAAUACUUUUCCUCAAUUAUUAUGCACAAGAAUUUACCAGCAAUAGAAGAUUAAAUUAGCUACCUUGAAGUCUAUUCCCCCACGCUUUUGCUGUUUUUUGGAUUGAGCCUUCUGCUUCACCAUUUUCUUUUUUUCCCUUCUGUUUCUAGUUCCAAAACCUCUUCAAAUCUUGCAUGACCAUUAAUGGGUUAUGUCUAGGGUUUAAGCAUCACUGCAUCACAACUUUCACAAGGCGGGUCUUGUUGAUAAAAGUUUCUUGAUUUUUUUAUUUUUAUUUUUCUAUCAGGAAGGUUUCUUGAAUACUGAAUACUUGAACGUUCCUAUAGCUGAUGUUGGUCGGGAGCACUUUAAAGUCCAAUCCAUAAUGCUGAUGGGUUUUCUCCUUUCACUUUUUGUCCGAACUGGCCCAAUCUACGAUCGAAAUUGACGAUUGGGCUUCAGAGAAGAGUGGUGGACCCUAUUUUCCUGAGGACUGAUACAAUUUUGUUCAACAUGGUCAAGAACCGAGAAUUGAGACACAGACAGCGGGCUUUGACAGAAGAUUUUUUUUUAAGUAUAUAUAUAUAUAUAUAAUAAUAUUACAACACUUUGACGAUGUGAUAUAUAUAUGAUAUGAAAAAAUAAUUGAGAAACAAAAAAUAUAAUUAAAAGAUAUAUUUAUGAUACAAGUAAAAAAUAUUUAUAAAUAAUUACUAUCCAAACACACCUUAGUAUAUACAGUGGCUAAGAAAAUUUGGGAGGCUCAAGCAGAGAUGACUUAUUUCCUUUUGUUUUCUUCUAGUUCUUUACCAUAUUGCCCAUUCUGGGAUGGGUUGGAAUAGAAUUUCCUAAAUUUUUACAUGGAAGCGACUGAUGGCACCAAUCCAUGUAUAGUAAAUAUUGGGAAAUUUGUCAAAUUGGUUCAUAACAUUUUCACAAAAAAAUAUUUUUUGUCCCGAACAUUUAAAAUCAGUCAGAAUAGUUCCUCACAUAUAAAUUAUGAGCCAGUUUGGUCUUAAUGCUUGUCUUUAUUCUUUUUUCUGGCUAAAAAUAGCACACCUACAUAUUUUUAAUAGCAAAAUUGAAAACAUUCGUUAAUCCAUAAUUUUGCAUCCCUCAUACUCUUCUACCACUUAUUCAAUUGGUUCUCAACCUCCUGCAACUAUGGUGGAGAAUUAACAAGAAAAAUUGAAUGAAAAGACAGAAAUAUCAAAGACACCAAGAAAAAGUUUCAAUCUUGAACAGAAGAUUAAUGGGAAAUCUACUAACGUGGCCAUAGGCUAUGACAGCAAGGUCAAUCAUGAGUUGUCCAUAAAGAGGACAUCUAAAUUCCUGAGGUGGAAGAGUAAGCAAAAGGCUUUGUGGGUUGGAAAGCUCCGACUUCAAUUCUUUCAAACAAGACAGAGCCUGCAUGGCACGAUCAGCGCCUUCCAAUGCAUAAUCAUCUUCUUCCACAAUACUCUGUACCAAUAUUUGCAGUUCCCUCUCGAGUUGUUCUACUGUAGUUUUUGCAUCCAAAACCGCCCAUUUUCUGUUGUUGUCUUGGCCAUCUUUUCUACACCACCACAAAAUAUGAAAAUACAAAUUGGGAACUGGGAUUUGAGCAAAAAGAAGAAUGGAAACUGCACUUGGAAUUCAAGAAUAAACAAGAAGAAGAAAUUAUGAAGUAGCAGUAGGUUGAGAACCAAUUGAAGAAGCGGUGGAAGAGUUCAAGGGAUGCAAAAUUAUGGAUUAACGAAUGUUUUCGAUUUUACUCUUGAAAUUAUACCAAUGUGCUAUUUUUAGCCGGAAAAAAAGAGCAAAUACGAGCAUUAGAACCAAAUUGGCUCAUAAAUUAUAUGUUAGGAACUAUUUUGGUUGAUUUUAAAUAUUAGGGACUAAGAAAGUUUUUUGUGAAAAUAUUAGGACCCAAUUUGACAAAUUUCCCGUAAAUAUUUGUACCAAUUAUUUACAAGCAAGCUCGUGUGACUUCGCAAUUAUCGUCAAUGGAGCUGGUUUUGCUCAACGCUCAUUGUGCUUUCUUUUCUUAACGGACGGCUUCUUGCAUUGGUAUAUUGUAAUCAUCACUUUUCUACCAAGGCACACCAUAUUCACUACCAAGGCACACUUUUCUUGCACUGUACCUUCACUCAUUACUAACGGCGGAGACUAUUGUCAUACUGUAUAUUAUUAGGAGUGUAAAUGAAUUUAAUCAAAUCAAACACCAUAAUGUCAAAACUUGUCUGAUAGGUUUAACAAAAUUAAAAUUUUGUUUAGGUUUAACUUGUUUAUUUACUGAAUCAAACUUAAAGGUUUAGCUUUUUGUUCAAGGUAUACGUAUGUAUAUAUGUAUGUAAAAGUAUAUAUUAUUCUAUAUAUAAAUAAUUGAAUAACUGGAACCUACACUGAUGAAUUAAUGCACAUUAAUUUUGGAUGAUCGUAAAUGGAUACCCAAUUAAAAUCUAUUUAAUUGGUAGGCAGUGAGUUGACUCGACUCACUCAUUUAUGCCUAUUUAAAAAUAAAUAUAAAUUUAAACUCAAUUUUUAGUAAGUGUUAAGCAAAUAAAUUUGAAUUUCUUACCAAUCUAAUAAUAAUAAAAUAAUAUGUUAUUACUUGUCAAGCAACAUGCAAAAUUUUUUUUUUAAGUAGAAUUUUAAGUGACUUAUUAUUAGAUGAGUAAUUGGAUAUAACCAUACCCAUUUAUUAAAUGGGUAAAAAUGAGUACCUAAUUAAUACAUGAAUAUGAUUAAAUUGACCCAAUUAUACCUCUUAUCCGAUAAUGAGUACCUAAUUACGAUCCGUCAGAAUUAUCCAUUUUGACAUUCAACUUAUCAAACACAGUCACGGCAUUUUGAAACGCACUACUAGAAAACUAGUGGAGGAUGAUGAAGCAAUUUCCACGUCCCGUGCUUUUAAUUAGACGAGUGACGCUCGCUUUUUUAAGUUUUUAACUAACAGAUAAAUAGGCCAUUCAUUUUACAUUUGGAUGAAGACAAUAAUGAUGUGAGGCCAUUGUUUCAUUAUAAAGUCACAAGGAUUAUCAUAAAAUUAAGGGCGACGACUUAAAUUGAACGCUAGUCAUGUAUGGCCUGUGAAUCUUAAACAAGGAUUACAUUUGCCAUGCGAUGGUGACGUCCACGUUCUCCUGGGUAACUACCCCGACAUAGACGCGACUGCGAACAUCUGAUCUAAGAUUAAGAUACGAAAAUUAAAAUUCAAUUGUCAAACUGAUGCUCAUGUUGGCUAACUUCAGAUGAUUAUAUGUUUUUUUAUAAUACAUCAUUUUAGAGUCUGUCUCUGUAAUAUCAUCGAUAAAAUAAAGAAUUAAUUUUUUUAUAUAUUGACAAUAUAGUGAAUUUUUUAUAAGAAUAACUACGGAUAUUAUAUCACAUACGUAUGAUUUAAAUUUAUAUUACGUGACAUGAUCUAAACAGAAGUACGGGGACCACCAAAAGAUAAACCGGAAAGAUAACUAGUUCUACUUCAAUUCUAUAUAUCAACAUCUCACGAAAGGGGAACUGUAGAGUUACAUAUUUUUGUUACACAGAAUUAACAGGAGUAGUAAAACAUACUGUCAAACAAUAUUUAGAACAAAAAGCAAACUACCUGCCAUCAGCUGAAGUAAAGGACUCGGCAAAUCCAGCAGGCCUUGAUGGUAUGCUACCCUUGCUGUCCUCCACGUCCAAAUAACUGCAAUCCUUUCCUUCAGCCUCUUGCCACCCCUUAACCAUUUGAUUCAGAGGAAGACUGUAAUCAAUUCCACAGUAUUCCUCUGUAUCAUCAUCAAGUGGCUUCCAUUUCUCAACAAGAGAAGCCAGGACAUUUACAACAUGGCCCAUAUCAGGACGCUGGUUCGGCUCUCUGGCGGUACAAUGACCAGCAAGUUCAGCGAUAAUUGAGAUGCUCUCCAAUUUUUCCUCUUUGACAUCUAGAGCAGGGUCAAUGGCUGCCAUUAGCUUCUCUUCACUAGACUUGAUAUGCCAGAACCAUGCAGCCAAGUACUGGCUUUCCUCGGGUCUGUCCUCAUCAAGUGCCACCAAUCCCGUUAGCAACUCCAUUAGCACGACCCCGUAGCUGAAGACAUCCGCUUUUGUCGUGAUUUUGCCGGUCACUGAUCAUUUAAGGUAGAAUAUUGUACAGCAUCACAAGAAGUUAGACCAUUGAUAUAAGAAUUAUUAUCAGUGGUAGAAAAUGACGAUGUUAAAAAUCGGAAAAAGAAGAUAAAUGUCCUGCUCAACUAUAAACCAAAAUUAUUUCCUCUUUUAAGUAAGUUCAAUAGCUCAAUGGAUUUAUCAGCAAACAAAUUUUACAAGGAGGAAAUGGCAUGUUAAAUGCUACAAGCCAUUGCAGAACAAUAGAACUAUGUCGUCAACUAGUAAUUUGAAGCACCAAAUUUCAACACCAGUCCUGCUAAUCAAACUGGUAAACAAUCUUCGUUACCACAGCUUGAUAGGGAGUGAUGGCAUUAAAACAAUUAGUAAUUUCAUUUAAGGAACCAAGGAAGAUUGACUUACCAGCAUACUCAGGCGCUAGAUAUCCAAAAGUUCCAGCUAGCCUAGUCACCACAGACCUCUCUCCAUCAGGUGCGAGUUUCACCAAUCCAAAAUCAGAUACUUUUGCUCUAAAGUCAUCACCGAGCAGGAUAUUUGAAGAUUUAAGAUCUCUAUGUAUGAAGCUCUGAUGAGCUAGACUGUGAAGAUAUUCCAUUCCUCUAGCAACAUCUAACGCAAUAUUUAGCCUUCUUUUCCAUGAUAAAGGUUCUAAUUUCAAGCUCUUCCAGUGGAAAAGAUGCUUGCUGAGAGCCCCUUCGGGCAUAUACUCAUAUACCAAAAUUCUUUCAUUUCCUUCAAUAGAAUAUCCCAAAAGUGACACCAAAUGCCGAUGACGGACCUUAGAAAGGACGGCAAUCUCGGCUUGAAAUUCAUCCAGAGCCUUGCUACUAAGUACUCCAGCUUCCAUUCUCUUAACUGCAAUCUUUGUUCCAUCAUCCAACUCUCCUUUGUAAACUACUCCAAAGCCACCACGCCCAAGUUCAUUUUCUGGAGCAAAAUUUUUUGUCACAUUUCGAAGAACUUGGACCGAUAUGGUUAAGUUUCCAGCCUCGAUAGUAUGAGAAUCGCCACUGUUCCUACUGGCAGAACCACUUCCUGUCAAUGUAGAAACGCUUCUAUUGGUAUUGUCUGCAACGGAAAUCUUCACCAAAUUGUCGGGAUCGGAUGAAUCUCUUGGAUGAAUUACAAUAGAACUAGGAGCUUGGCAUGUAUCUUUUCUCUUUUUACAGUAACAAAGAAGUAGGGGCACAACCAAACAGACCACUAGUGCAAAAGUUGCAACAGGGGCUAAGACUGCAACUAACUUGGACUCACUCGGAUGUCCCCCUUGGUUAGAAUUUUUGGCAGGGUUACUAGAACUAGAAUUUGAUCCUUUUGUUGAUGGAGAAGAGGGAAUUGAGGUUUGCGAACCUUCUGGCGAUGGGGUACUACUUGAAGGACUAGGACUUAGCGGUAAAUUUCCCUUCAGGUUAAGGUGUACAGUGGUACUAAAGUUCGGCCAAGGAGGGGAAAGAUGGUUGUUACUCAAAUCCAACAGCAUCAAGGCUUUUAGUUCAGUCCAAUUUGAUGGAAUUUCUCCUGAAAGAUUAUUCGACCCCAGAUAUAUAUGAGUGAGAGAAUCAAGACUUGCAAUUGAAGGACUCAAGUUUCCAGAAAGGUUGGACUUGGCCAAGUUCAAGACGUCGACCUUUUUAUUGAAAUUGCAGCUCAAUCCCAACCAUGGCCCUUCACAUGGGUUAUUUCCUGACCACAAUUGAACAAGCCUAGGCGGGUAAUUCACCCCAUCGAGAAAUUCUAAGAGUGCCAUGACUUCAGGAGCACAGGAAACGCCCGCACUUGUUUGGCAAAAUGGAUUGGCUGAAUAACUAGCAUUAACAGCUUUGAACUUUGGAAUUGGACCCAUGAAAUGAUUAUUAUUCAAAUCCAGAUUAUUGAGUGGCAUACUUGCCAAGCUAUCAGGAACUAAUCCAACAAGAUCAUUAGUAUUGAGAUUGAGAUUUUGCAAAUAAGUUAAAUUGUUGAUGUCCUUGGGAAUUUUACCUGAAAAAUGGUUCCCAUGAAGCCACAGACUAACAAGUGAUCCCAUUGUUGCAACUAUAUCAAUUGGACCCGUCAUCCCCUCGCCAGACUGUUGAUUUAGCCAAAGAACCUUCAGGGUAGAGUCCUUGAAACUAGCCGGAAUACCGCCAGUAAUCCGAUUUUGAGAGAGUCUCAACACCUGUAAGGACGACAUACUUCCCAAGAAUUCAGGCAAAGAACCAGCCAAAUUACAGCUCAUCAAAGUAAGAUUAGUCAGUUGAGCUGAACUUUGCAAGUCAGAAGGCAGUGACCAGCCAGUUGAGGCAUUAAGAGGAUUAUAGUCCAAUGCCAUCACUUGUAAACUCACGAGCCCAUUGAAGAAAUCAGAAGGAAUAGUGUCAAACUGGUUGAAAUCCAAAUACGCGUAUCUCAACUCGGACAACCCGCUGAAAGACGGCAACUUUCCACUGAAUUCGUUCUGCUGUAGGCCUAAAUUUGACAGCUUGGACAGCUGAUUGAAAUUUUGGGGUAAGGUACCCUUCAAGCCUAAGCCCCUAACUUGAAUUUGCGAAACUCUGUUGCCGGAACAAAAUACGUGCGGCCAAUUUGGAGUACCGCAUGGGUCGUUGCCGUUAGCAGGCCAAUUCAACAGCUGAGGAUUCUUCAACCCAUCUCUGAACUGGUUGAGUAUAGCAAGGUCGCCGGGGUCAGUCACGCUAAAAGCAAGUGUAACAAUACAGAGAAAUAGCGCCAAUCCAAGCCUUUUCUUCUCAGCAGCCACCAUUGUUGAGCUCUGAAACACGGCUCCACAUGCAUUGAGCCCUAGAUGAAAAGCUUGUUAUAACUUCUAAUGGUGGUUCCUUGAAGAACCCAUCUCAAAUGUCGCAAGGGAAGCUUAGAGAUAACAUGCGUUUGGGAACACAAAAACUCUCAGACAGAGUGAGAGAGAAGCAGAGAAAGGACAACAGAGGGAGGGAAGGAGGGAUGAUUGGAGUGAGAAACACUACUGGCAGAGUGGUGUGGCGUAUAAUGCAGAGCAUAUGUUGCAAAGCAGAAAUCACAAGUACAUCUGCUGAAGCUUGAUUAGUACGUGAUGACCCUAAAAAGUGGAUCUGUAAUCGGAAAUUUUCAAGACUUCCGAUUAGAAUACUGGGGAAAAAAAACUCUGGCUUGAAAUUUGACUGGAAUUUCUCUGGCUUUUCUGCAAUGUCACGCACUCUGCUCUCGAUGUCAAACUCAAAGGGUAGAAAACAUUUAAGAGCGAGUAUACGUUUGCUGUUGACUGUUAUAUGCUCAGUUGCUCACAGCUGAGGAUAGAAAUGAAAGGAAGAGAAAGUUAAGUAACGAGAGAAAAGAAAUGAUUAUAAUGAAUGAAAAGAUAUUUUAAUGUUAUUUGAAAGUUUAUGAAGAAUAUGAUUUUAGAUACAUAUUGAUGAAUAAAUACUUCAUUCAAUAGCUUUUUAAAGAUAGAAUGAACAAUUUAAAAAUUUUUGUAGCCUUUCCAUAGUUUUCUUUUGCAUUCUGCCCGAUUUGGGAUGGAAUUUUUUUUAAUUAUAGCGGGUCACUUCUUCUUUUCAAAUCAACCGGAUUCUUUUUUUUUUCUAUUUCACUGUAACUCUCAAACGUGAAAAAUACCUACCUUUCUCUUUUCCUCUUUUCCUCUUUUCUUUUCUGCUCAAAUUUCAUCUCUAAACUAGGCAUUAGAGUUUGAAAGGCUCUUACUUUACUUUCUUUAAAAAAAAAAAUGACAAGGGUAUAUUUGUCUUUUAAUGGUGUGAUCAACGUAUUAACUGCAUUAUUUUGGGUUAGCGUAGUAGACAAGCAAUUUACAGUAAUUAAAUUCAACAUUCAUUGGUGUCCAGUCCCCUGUGGAAAAAGUUUAAUAUGCGUCGAUCACUCCGUUCCCCAAGUUCCGGAUUCUUGUCAGUUGCAUUCAUUUUCCCUCUGGCCCUCUCUCUUAUUCUUCUUUUUUUCUUUUUUCGUUUGUCCUUGGGAAAUUGUUGUGUGAUUUUUUGGGUCUUGUAUAUUGUAUAUUUAAUACUAGUUUGGUUUGUUUGGAUGGGGUAUUAUUUGAAAUAUUAUUUGGAAUAAUUAUUGUAGUAUUUUUUGUGAUGUGAUGUAUGUGAGAUAAAAAGGUGGUUGGGAAUAUAAAAAGGUGGACUGAAAAAUGUGUGUAUGAUGCAAGCGAAAUAUUAUUUGGGAUAAGUUUUGUAUCCAAACACUCCCGCUGCUCCAAAAAAUUAAAAAAAGAAAAAUUGAAAUAAAACUUGGUAUGUUGAGAGAGCUCGCUUGAUGGUUGAUUAUUUGGAAAUUGAAGCAUGCCAUGAUGAAUUUUCGUUUUGGAUUGCUGUUUUUCGUCAAAAAAUUACGUUAUUUUUCGUGAUUAUAUUUCUCUAUUAUUUUUUCCCUCAUAUAUAUCAAAUCGCUACAGCAAUUUUUUUAUAAAAAAAAUUAUGAAAAAUGCAAUCCAAAGACAAUUUUACUAGUUUUGUAGUCGUUGAAUUUUGAAUUUAACCUUGCCUUUCUCAUGCAUACAGCUUGGGGCGGCCAUAAUGAUGACAAGUGCACAAAUUGUUAUCAUAUAUGCAUUAAUCUCAAAAAAGUAGAGAUCAUAGGAAGUGACAAAAUCCCGAUUGUGAUUUACACAAUGACAAAACAUGUCUUCUUCCAAUUGGUCAACAUGUCUCCAUCUGGUUUUAGAACCAUGAAGUCCGACUAACGCAGAAAAGAAAAUGAAGAGGGCAACUAGUCAUAAGCUAAGUUAGACAUGUGGACUGGUUGUUGCGUGAUGUUUUGAAAUACAGAAGUAAAUGGUGAUUAGCCAAUCUUUUGUAUACAUGUGCUGAAACUCAAUAAAUGUCCGUAGGUUAGUCUGUGGAUUGCACGUAAUUAUGUGUCUUAAUUAAUUUCAUGGAUAGUUGAGUCAUCAACUUCUUUGGCACGUAAAGUAUGUAUAAAAUAAUCAUCUUUCUAUUCCUCUUGUUUUAAAGGUUGUAUGCAAACCGAAUUUCAGGUUGGAAGCCCUCUGGAAUUUUGAUGAUGAUUAAUGCUCUCGGAUAUAACUUCUUCCGAAGCUUGUGUGAACGUGUGUGUGUGCAUAUAUACAUAUAUAUGGUAAAACAAUUCGAGGUCUCCGUCUCUCUCGAAAUAUAUAGUUGUUUUUUAAUAAAGUCUCCACAGAGGAUGAUAUUAUCAUCCUGACAUAUAUAAAUUACACUUAAUUUGCAUAAGUACGAACAAGUAGAGAGUCACAUGCAUGCUAAUCACGACUUCACGGGCACGAGAAGCAGUCAAUCAGAGUAUAAACUGCCCAAUUAUUUACGCUAGUUUUUGUUAGUACUAGUCUCUUAUAGCUAGCUUGUGAGUGUAGGAUAGAAAAGAAAAGAAGAGAAAGGUUAAGUUACGAGAGAAAAUAAAUGAUAAAAAAAGAAGAGAAUAAAUUUUAAUGUUGUUUGAAAGUUUGUGAAAAAAAGGAGGUGAUUUUGGACACAUAAGUAAAUAAAUAUUUCAUUCAACAGCUUUUUAGGGGUAGAAUGGGCAAUUUAAAAAAUGUUUUGCUGCCUUUCCACGCUUUCCUUUACUUUCUGCUCGAUUUGGGUCGGAAAUUGUUUUUAACACUGUAGCUGUUUCUUCCUUCUUCCAAUUCCGUCGGUUUCUUUUCCUUUCCUUUCACUUAAAACUCUCAGAUGCGGGAGAUGCGGCCUUUCUCUUCUAUUCCUUUCUUUUUUGUUCAAAUCUCAUCUCAUAAACUAGGUAUUAAGAUUUUGUAGUUUAUUGUUUGUUUAUCCAUUUAAUCGGGAAAGUGGGGACUCACCCGAUAGGCGAAAGCCCUGGAACGUGACGCUUUAAAAAGCCAAACCUGGGAUUAAUGAAACAAUUAAUCGUGUCACGAAUAAUAAUCGCAAGUCAUGACUUGGAUCAGAAACAGGUCGUCUGAAUUUUUAUUAGGUAAUCGUCUAAUUGAGCAUACUUGAAUUGAAUUAUAGGUGGCAAAUCAACCCACUUAACUAAAUUUACCUAUACCCGUCCAUGAAUAGAUGGGUAUGAAUAUCUUAAAAUUUUAUAUACAGGUAUAAAUGAAUUAUCCAAUAAUACCCAAUUAACCCAUUUAGAAUUCUCUUCCCCCACCCAUUUUUUUUUUCAAAAUUUUCAUUUUGUCAUGAUGUUAACUACUUUUGUUUCAUUAUUAUUAUUAUUUAUUGGUUUUAUCUUAUUAUUUUAUUUUCUCUUAGUUUGUUAACUUGUUCAUUUUUCAGCAUUACCAAUUUAUGAUAAAAUUUAGCUUCUUUUUCUUAUUUUUCUAAAAUAAAAUUUUAAAUUUAUAUAUGCAAAAAACGUUAGGGGUUCAAAAUUUUUGGAUUAAGUUUUUAUAUUAACUUUUAUAGUACUUAGUUCAAAUUUUUACAUUCUCAUUAUUCAAUUCUUAAAUAAUAUGUAAUUUUGUGACAUAGAGUAUAAAUGGAAAAAAAAUUGGUAAUUAGGCUUAUUGAACAUUAUAAGUAAAUAUUUAAAACUAAUGAUGGGUACAAAGAGCGGUAUAAAUUGAUAACUUAGUUUGCAAAAAUGAAUUUAAAUGAGUUUACAAAAAGUUAAAAUAAAUGGGUUAUAAAUGGAUAAUUGGGUUACCCGAUUCAUAUUUUGACUUACUCAUUUAUACCCAUCUAAUAAAAUGAGUAAAAAUAUGGGUUGACUCACUUAUACCAAUUAUCCAUUUUACCCAACCCAAACCCGUCCAAGUUGCCCAUUUUGACACCUCUAAAUUGAAUCAACUGAAAUAAACGGAUCCUUUUAUAUUUUUCUCGCAGCAGGAUGAAAGUUUAACAAAUAAAGAAUUCCAAUUUCCAUAAAUUAAUUGGUGAGAAAGCACUUAUCAUCUGUGCUGUGGCAAUUGUGUUGAGCUGCCAAAAAUAAUCUAAACAAUUAAAAGAUUAAAGAAGAAAAAGUUCCUUUAAAAAGAAAAAUUUAACAGUCUCGAGAAUGAAACCAGGAUCCUCCACGAACGAGCAACCUGCAACCUUACCUAGUUUGCCUGUAAAAACACGUACAAUAGCACAAAGCAAGACCGUAUGUUCUUGCUUUAACAUAUUGAUUAAGUCCCGCAUUUAAAAAAAAAAAUAAAAUUAAGUCCCGCAUUCAUAUCCCAACAUUCCAUCGUUAUUAUUCAUUCCUAAGUAGUAGAAGGAUACUAAUAAGAUAAGAGGUUUUGAUGAUAGCACAAAAGGGGCUUGUACUCAGGAGAAAUUGGUUUUGCUCUCUCUCUCUCUCUCUCUGGCUCGAUUGUGUUAUUAUUAUUAUUAUCGGGCAAAAAUGGAUCACAGUCCUGAAAUUUAAUAGAAAAGUUUUUUCCAACUUACUUUAUUCUUUUAAUAUCUCCGUUACAUUACACAGAGGCGUAAUUGGAUUAGCGACGUGGAUGAACAGUGUAACAUUCUUUUUAUUAUGCACAGUGUUCACAUAAAUGGUACUCCCUCCGUCCCACUUUGAUAGUCAUGUUUCUUUUUUCACACAGUUUAAGAAAAAGUAGUUAACUUUGUUGGAAAAGUAAAUUUAGAUUGUUAUUUUCCUAAAAUACCCUCACAUUAAAUAGAGUACAACUUUAUGGGAACUUGAAUUGAUGGUAAAAAAGAAUCAACUCUCAUUAAAUGGGCUAGGUUUAUAGCAACAAUAACUUGUAUUAAAUAAGGAUAUUUUAGGAAAAUGAAAAUACAACUACAUUCUUCAAUUGGAAAGUGGACUGUAAUUUGGGACAGACAAAAAAAGAAAACAGGACUAUCAAAGUGGGACGGAGGGAGUAAUAAAAUAUGCAAAUGGAUCAUUUAGAAUUAGAAAACGUCCACGACGGUUAAUCUGCCCCGCAUCCGGCGUAAAGCUAGUGGCUAGCGAAAGGCAACCACAUCCGGCCACCAAUUGGUAAGCGUGAUAAAGAUACUCUUCAAAAAUAGAUUUGACUUGAUUUCAACGUCGCUGUAGCUGACCCCGAUUUCCGACGCGUUAACUUUUGUCACCCUUUUUCUUUUGGGAUAAUUUCACAAACUUGCCCUGAGGUACGCAACACUUGCAGGCAACCCCCCCAGGUUUUUUAAAAAGCACCUAUCUCCCCUGAUGGCUAAAAACAACAUGAAUUUUUAAAUUUAACAUCUCCAUGAGGUGAGAUAAUGCAUCUUAAAUUUAAUUUAACAAAUCAUUAAUAAACUAGAAAAAACAAAGAGCAGCAAGAGUAAUGGAUUCUACCUAGUCCUAACCAACCAAAUUACUUCAACCCAAUAUUACUCAAUAUUGUAGUAAUUUGGAGGGAAAAAAAAACUUUAGAUUUCUUCUAACAUAAGUACCUACUCAACUCAUAUAUAUGAUUUUUUUCCUUUUAAGGGUAGUAGGUAUGUGUGUUUUUGUUAUUAUUAUUUAAAAGGAAGAGGAAUGGAUUUGAUAUAUAACUUUCUUAAAGUAUAUGAAUAAUAUUUUUAGUUCAAAAUAACCAAGGAAUUCUAUGUAAUGUUAUAAAGCAGGUUUGUUUGGAUUGUAAGUUAUUUUGGAUAGUUUGAUUGUAGCACUUUUUGUGACGUGAUGUAUGUGAGAUAAAAAAGUAAUUGGGAAGAUAAAAAGGUGUAUUGAAAAUUGUAAUGAUAAUGUAAGCAAAUAAAAUUGGAGAAAUAAUGCUCAAUCCAAACAAACUUCAGGAUCAUCAAUAGAGAUACUUUGCUUACAUCAGCAAAGACCCAACUAAAUUUUUGAGGGAGGCUUCUAUGACUCUUAAAAUUUGAAGGAUGUGUGUGUUUGGAUAGGAGAUUAUUGGAGAUAAUUUUUUAAAAAAAUACUGUUUUAUGUUUUUAAUGUAAUGUAUAUAAAAUAAUUAAAAAAUAUAAUGAGAAUGCAAGAAAAUCAUUAUAUGUAAAUAAGGUGCAAUUCAAACAUCGCAAUAAUAUUGUCAUAAACCUCAGGGGAGGUUUGUGAAAUUAUCCCAUAUCAUUGACAUGAAAGCAAAAAUCUCGGCCUCACUGCAUAUGUGACCAGAUUUGUUGUCCCGACCAAGUAUGAUGAAUUGCCCAAGGAAGAUCCCGUAAAUUAGUAAUAUGGCCCGAUGGCGAUCCCACAAAAUAAUUUGUUGUCCAUUUGAGUGCUUUUAUUAUUGAGUUACUGUCCUAUUGGGCUUGCAUUAUUCUUGUCUUAUUUUAUGUUAAUCCCUUUCGGCCUUUUUGGCAAAAUAGUCUCAGACCCAAUCAAUUAAUGAAGUCGGUAACUUGGAGAGGCCAGGCGGUGCAAAGGUGGCUUUUGGUGCCGUAGCCAAGAGAUAUGGAAGGCAGUUGAGGUCCCAUAUCUAAGGAGAAAGCUUUUUGUCUAGUCUAGUGUAAAAAAGAGGCGAAGCUGAGUCCAAAGAAUCAAAAGUUAUAGGGCCCUUCCGUCACUUUCAUUAUGCACUAUGCCUAGACUUGAUAUAUUUUUUAUGUUCUUUAUUUUUUUAAAAAUAAUUUUUAACAUUCAUCACAAGAUAUCAGAUAUGUUUCAUUAGAUUUCCUUGUAUUAUUUGUUUAUGAUGAUGGUGGCGACGUUACCUAGAGUUUAGGGCUCGGCGUCUUAACGAAUCUCAACUUUCAGUAUAUUGUUCGAUGCUUGAUAUAUCUUUAUUUUAUGAUACGCUUUUAAACAUGUUCUUAUUUUUGGGGAGUGUAGGCGCAACUUCUUCGGUUCUUUGUAAUAUUUACGAGAGAGAGAGAGAGGGAGGAAACUAAAAACGCCUCAACGUUUAAUUUCUACAUUAUGGAGAUGAUAAUAAGGGAAGACCAUAUGCCAAAGAUGUUAUCAAGAAAUUAACCCAGGGACUGAACUUUCAUCUUGGAGUCUAAAUAAUAAGUAAGGGUGAUUUGAAGUAACGUUAGAAAUUAUUUCCCUUUUCUUUUUUUUUUCUUUGAUGUGCUUUUACACCGAGGUUGGUGAAGAAAAUGGUGGUAUUACGAGAUUGAGAUUCGAGGCUAAAGAUGCUCUUCUUUUCUUGUUCUCUUGCUCCCCACGGAGCCAUGCUAUCACGCUCUACCCUCCAAACGUGGAAGGGGAGCAAAGCAGAGACAGGGAGGAAGAGGUCCAGUUUGCAUUGGCAUGCUCCAUGUCAAUAAUACAAUUCCUUAUCAAUGUGAAAAUAGAUUCCCAUUUAAAGUGGCCACUUGUUCAUCAAUAAUUGAAGAGAUAUCUGAUACAACUAAGGCCUCAUCCAGAUAAUAUAUAUUACCAGCAUAUUGUUUUUGGCUGCUUUAGUUUUCCUCCUCAUUUCCUCAGUAGUCCCCCCAUUGACAGGAAUGAUAUGUUGGCUUCCAGCUAUAUGAUCUGCGCUAGAAACAAAUACUAGAUGCUACCAAGCCAAAGUGAACCUGCAUCCAGUGAUUCUUGUGCAUGAAGGUGACCGCCCUUGACUGACGGCUAAGCAGUAAAUACCCCGUCCCAUGCGGUGUCUGGAGAGAGAUUAUUGACCCGCUUGAAAACCUAUCUCCUCCCAGUUAUAUGGCCUGUUUGGAACCUGAGUUUUUUGGGAGUUUGUCUAAAACUUUACUGUAGUGUACUGUAGAAGUUUUUGGAAAAAUUUUUUAAGAUGAAAAAUUUUUUAAAGUUUUUUUAAGAAAUUUUUUGGAAGUUUUUUUCCUUUUCUUUUUUUUUUCCUUUUCCUUUUUCUCUUUUUUUUUCUUUUCUUUCAUUUCUUCUUCUUCUUCCUCUUUCUUCCCACUCCCCCUUCCCCCCCGGUUACUUCUGCGUUG